UUCUUAUCAAGAGUGGUGGAGGGACUGGCCCUAUGAAACCCGGCAACCAGAAGUUUGAUUAACUUCAAGGUGCUAAAUCCUGCAGGUGAACCUGAUAGAUAAGUG
This 105-nucleotide non-coding RNA is filed under the name Clostridium fallax. RNAcentral's name for it is "SAM-I sequence". It matches the Rfam family "SAM riboswitch aptamer (S box leader)". Rfam says of the family: The SAM riboswitch is found upstream of a number of genes which code for proteins involved in methionine or cysteine biosynthesis in Gram-positive bacteria. The record is from Rfam by way of RNAcentral. Lineage: Bacteria; Bacillati; Bacillota; Clostridia; Eubacteriales; Clostridiaceae.